UACGGGGGGGGGCAAGCGUUGUUCGGAAUUACUGGGCGUAAAGGGCUCGUAGGCGGCCAACUAAGUCGGAUGUGAAAUCCCCAGGCUUAACCUGGGAACUGCAUCCGAUACUGGAUGGCUUGAAUCCGGGAGAGGGAUGCAGAAUUCCAGGUGUAGCGGUGAAAUGCGUAGAUAUCUGGAGGAAUACCGGUGGCGAAGGCGGCAUCCUGGACCGGCAUUGACGCUGAUGAGCGAAAGCUAGGGGAGCAAACGGGG
RNAcentral lists this ribosomal RNA (255 nucleotides) under uncultured bacterium. RNAcentral describes it as "partial 16S ribosomal RNA". It matches the Rfam family "Bacterial small subunit ribosomal RNA", at positions 524 to 777 of the family's 1533-position model. The record is from RNAcentral.